RNAcentral lists this long non-coding RNA (1372 nucleotides) under Sorghum bicolor (sorghum). RNAcentral describes it as "long non-coding RNA (SBIC_LNC009058)". The record is from RNAcentral. Lineage: Eukaryota; Viridiplantae; Streptophyta; Magnoliopsida; Poales; Poaceae.
AACCAAGGAAGAGGACCAACAGGAGGAACAGGAACAAGCUCAGCUAAGAUGGUUACUGCAGUUCAAGGAGGUCAAGAUCGUCGACUUAAGUCACCAUUCCUGACCAAAAAGGACGACCCAGGUAUACCAAGCAUCCAGUGCUCCAUUAAUGGAUACAACUUCCAGAAGACGCUUUGUGACACCGGGUCAAGUGUCAACAUAAUGGCCGCAGUCACCUAUCAGCUCCUGUUUGGAACCAUGCCCCUAAAAUCGACAUACAUUCAGCUCCAGAUGGCAGAUCAGGCAUUCCGAAAGGUUGAAGGUAUAGUAACUGAUGUCCCUGUCAAAAUAGACGAUCAUUUUGUCCAUACAAAUUUUCAGGUUAUUGACAUGGGAAAAGACGGAUCCACCCAUCAUCCUUAGGAGACCGUUCCUCAGCACCGUUAAAGCAAUCAUCUACAUUGGAACCGGAGAAGUCCAUAUGCACUUCCCCUCUGAGAAGGUACGCCGCUAUUUUACUGACCCUAACUAUAUAGUUGAAGACUCUAAGUAGGCCAGGACAAGAAGAAGACAACGCAACUGCAACCAGAGGAGGCAAAUCAUCAAGGACGGAUGGGCAGACUACGAAGGAGAAGUGGUAAGGUCUGAAGACAUACAGCUUGAACAGAACUGUCCUGAGGAGACCGUAGCACCGAGUCAGGUGUGGAGAGAGAAGAUAGUUAUACACGAAGAGGAGGCGCCGCCAGAACCACCGACUACGCCAUCCAGCGAAUCCCACGACGACUCAGAAAACGGAGAGUCCCGUUCAGAGGACUUAAAAACACCGAACGCCUUGCCAAGAGGUAAACUUGGUAGUUAUCCUUUUCCUUUCAAUUAUUUAAAAUAUUUUGCUUAGUUAAUCAGGUUCAUAUCAUCUUGAAAAGAAAAUAAAAAUGUUAAAAAUAGUAAGCCCCAUGUGAGUAUGCUCAUGGCAUAAAACCCAUAAGUACAUUCACUGUGGUGGCAUAAAAAUAAAAUAAAUAUAUUUAUGUGCUAUAAAAAUGAAAAUAUAAAAAUAAAUUUAUGAUCCUACCAAAGAGUGUAACAUUUAUUGAGGAGGCUCAACAUGAUAAAGGCUAGAUAUUUAUGCUAACACUUAACUAGUUCCACAAAGCUUUGUUGUCUAUUUGAGCUCCACAGAAUUCAAGGAUUAAAGAAGACUAGCAGACGGAGGACAUCCUAAUCGCUGUCAGGGUGCUGCCGACAUUCAAAUACACCUCCGCCACCUGCUAGCUACAUCAGGAGAAAUUACGUUAAAAUCCAGCUUGGGGGAGAGCACCCCCAUUUAUCCAGCUAAGUGUUCUACUCAUGUUUAUACUUUACUCAAAUAAUAAAAAGAUGCAUAAUCAUAAAA